UUUAUAACUCAUUUUAAUAUUCUAGAUUUUGCCUAAAAGAUUCUGCUAAAAUAUAUUUACAAAGAUUAUCAGAAAUUUCAUGUUUGAUACAUAUCUCAAUUUGUUUUCAAAUCAUAGUACCCAGAAGAAAAUUUUCAGGAACAAAGGAAAAUUUUAAUAUUACAGUGGAGACCAAUUUAAUAAUGGUAUAGAACCAGAAGCAGGUCUUGAUUCUCAAUGCCCAGAUUGGGUGGCAGAAUGAAGGAUUGCCUGGGUAUCUAUGACGCACAUUCCUGCUUCCUAAAACAUUUAAACUUUUAUUUAAAAGCAAGGACAUUACAGGAUGCCAUUUUAGUAGAUAAACUUUGACAUAUUAUUAAAUAGUCAUUGUUAAACUACUAAAAAUAUAUUUUAACCUAUUGUAUAUAUAUAUUGGAGAUGCCAACUAAUUUUCUACUUUCUUGCCUGUUUUAUGUAGUUCUAACUUUAAAUAAUGAGAAGAAGCCAUCUGAUUGUUAAUCUUCCUAAGGAUUAAGAUUAUGAAAGGUGAAAAAUAUAUAAAUAUGAAAUAGAAAAGCUGAACAGAAUAUUUAGUACAUACAAUCAUCCUGGAAAUUUUAUAUAUAUAUAUAUAUAUAUAAUAAACUUUAUAUUAUAUAUAAUAUAAACUUUAUAUUUUAUAUAUAUAUAUAUAUAUAUAUAUAUAUAUAUAUAUAUAUAUAUAAAUUUAUGAAAUGAGAAAAGUCAGUUGCUGUAGAAGAAAAUGAAGUGAUGUGACUCAUGAUGGAGCUAAGUCAGCAUGUCUUCAAAAGCAAAUCCUGCCUGUCUAUUGUGUGCAUUAUCAAAUGUAAAGCUUUUGAGGAAAAUCAAAAUGUGGUCUCUGUCCUUCUGAAAGGUGUUUCUGACUUGUGGGGAGGACAAAUCUUGUACAGAUUAACUAUUAAAAAUCAAAGCUCUCAAUGUAACCUGCUACAUCCUGGAAAUUGUGAAGAUUACUUCUCCAGCUCUCUUCACCAAUGUUUAGCUUCAGUGAUGUCACACAAUUUUCUCUACUUCCCUGAAAGAUUAUAUGUUUCCCAUUAUUGACUCUCACUUCCUUUUGUUCCCUCCUCUUUAUCUCCAUUUCUCCACUCUGCUCAGCUUUCUAUUCAUGUGAGGCUACUGUGAUGUUCUUGUUUUCUUUCUCAUUUUCUUUGCCACCUCUCUGUUUCUUACACCACUAACAAAACUUCUGCUACCUUCUUUUCCAUUUCAUUACCUGGAUAAAACAGUUACUAAAUUUAUACAGUUUCUGAUUAUCAAACAUUUCUGUUUGGAUCAUAUUUUAAUAUAUACUCUUGAUCAAAUUUUAUACUCAUUGAUCAAAUUUAUAUACAUUAAACACCAGAGACAAACUUAGGAAUCAAAGGUGAGAUUGUUAGAAAGAAAUGAUCCUUGACUUCAACAGAACCAUAAUAAAACCCGUAAAUCCAUUUACUCCUUUCUUUAAUCCACAGAUGUUGUGAGAUUUGGGGACCUUCCCUAAAUUUAUAAAAUGAGAAAAUUAAUUACCAUAUGGCAAAGAUAAACAGCUCAUGGUAUAUAAUAGAUAUUGUCAGCCUGGAUUCAGACCCAGGAAAUAGAUUUAUGAUUCUGUCAUGUAGAAUAAGAUGCAAGAUAUGGUUGGGAUAGUAGAAAUGAUUUAUUUGGAGGUUAUAAUAGCCCCUAGCCAGUCUCCAGCUUCAACUUGGCCCCUAGCCAGCUCUAUUUUGCCCCCUGAACCAUUUCUAUAGGCCCUUCUUAUAUACAGGCCAGACAAAGAAGGUCCACUACAAACAGGUUAUAACAGUGGGCACAUGUUCACAAGAAAAUGUUUAUAACCUUGAGUACACAUACUGAAUCACAGUGUUUAUGAUCUUGACGACACAUUAAAUCAUAGCCUGCCAGAAGCCUCAGUGAUGGAGCCUAUCUGUAGCCAUUUUGAGUCUACCCUACAACUAUGCAGAUAUUUAUUGAGCUUUAUCUGAUUAUUUAAUGAAGUGACCUAAGGAAACAUUUACAUAGAAAAAUAAAGUUGUGUUUAGGAAAAAAAAAAUGGAGACAAUUACUAACAUGAAAUAGAUGGAAAAAUUAUUGUAGAAAGAUGAUACUGAUAUUUAUUAGUUUAAAAUAUUCUGUAAUGAAAAGACUACAUUUUGUUUUUUUUAAUGGAUGAAAGCAAAACUGUGCAUAAUUUGGAUCUAUUCCUAAAGGAAUUAUGAAACCUUGUUUCUAUAAACAUUUUAAGAAAACAAUGUAGAAAUUAUUGCUUGUAUAGAAUUAGAAUAGUCUUAUGUGAGGGCAGGCACUUAACAUUGGGCCUAAUGUCCUAAUUAAAUACAUGUAGCUCUUUGCAUCUAAACCUUUCUUUUAUCUUCUUUGACAUCUCUAUUUAUAAAAUGUUAAAAUUUGGGUGAAAGAAAUAAUUCCCCAAAGUAAUACCAGGAUAUGCAAUGCUAACUUUCAUAAAUAGUCUUUUUGCUUUGUAGAUUGGAACAUAAAAUAUAUUGAAAUAUAAAAAUAUUGUUCCUGAUGUAGAGAAAUCAUGAAUUUUAAAUAUUUUAGAUAUGUCACUCAUUUAAUACUUUAAACAAAUGCAGCAUUUCUCAAAAAAUACAUUUUAAGUUCUGGAAGAGAGGAAAAGAGCUAUGGUCUCCUCUACAUUUACAUAUAAUGUUUGCAUAUUGAAAAGCACAUUUUGAGAGCCACCAGCUAACUGUAGGCUUUGAAGUCUCCCUUAAAGGCAUAUCUUAAAGAUGUAUAUAUUUAUUAUACACAAGGACUUCUUUUGCACAUGUGGUAACAUUUGAAUAGAAAACAGUCUUUAAUGAAAGUACAUAAAUAAUCCAGUGUUCUAUAACAUUGAAUGGAGUCAAAUGCUAUAACCAUCAAGCAAGAAAAUCUGAAUAUAGUCCUUGCCUCUGGAUUUGGUCAGUAGACUAGAUGUCCUGAUCAUUUAAAAUGAAAAUUGCCAGAGAUUUGGGGACAGUCAUAUUUUUUUAAAUGAGACUUCAUUUAAAUAUAGUUUAAUGAUAUUUUUUAAAAUGAGACAUCACUAAAAUAUAGUUUAAUGAUAUUAAAAUCAUUAUAUCAUUAAAACACAGUUAAUAUAUUGAAAUACAUAGGCACUUUGAUAGCAUUCAAAAGAUUUUUUUUUUCUCCAAAGACAUCACAAUUAAUAGGGAAACCCUGAAAAGAGUUUUCUGCUAGAUACAUGGCCAAAAGAAAGAUGCCUUCUAUCAUCAUUGUUUACUUUGUUGCUAUUAUGCAGUGUAAUGAGAUAAACAGAAGUUUGAAUAAAUAGAAGUUGGAAAUUUCGAAUAGUAGUUGUGACUAGGAGUAUUAGUUUUUAUAAACCCACAAACCACAAAAAUAUUCUUAUUUAUUCAUAUACUAGUUGAUUGUACAAAUAGUGUACACGAUUAAAUAGUAUUUAUAUAUGCAACUUACUUGAAUUAGACAAUAACAGAAGAAAAUAUUCCAUUUUUAGAAGUAGCAAGCACAACACUAAAAUAUCAGUUCAUUUGGUGCUGUUAUAACAGAGUGUCUAAUUCAGUAAUGUAUAAAGAACAGGAAAGUAUUUUCUCAUGAUUCUGGAGGCUAGGAAGUUCAAGGUCAAGAUACCAGUGUCCGGUGUCUGUUAAGGGUAUUCUUUCUGCAUUCUCACAUGGAUAAGGAAGAAGGACAACAGAGCAAAUUUGUCAAAAGCCAAGUGAAGCCUCUUCAAUAAGAGUCUUCAUCCCAUUCAUCAGAAGGGGUCCUCUUGCCCUAGUCAAUUCUCAAAGGGCCUACCUCUUAAUAUUAUUACAUUGGAGUAUCUAAAUUUUGGAGAGAACACAUUCAAACCAUAGAUAGCAUCACACAAAAAAUUUCAAGAAAUAUAUUAAUGAAAAUUUCAGAUUUUCUUCAUAUCAAAAGUUAUUGAGGGAAAUUUGAACAAAUAUGAAAAUAAAGUUCCCAAGAAAAAUCAAGAAGUGUAUAGAAAUACUCUCAAGCUAGAAAUUACUGAGGAGGACUAAUACAAUUUGGUAAUGAAAUCCAAUAUUUCAAAUUUCCAGUAUUUAAAACUUUGUAGUACUGAUGCAUGAAUUGGCAGCUCAGACAAUGCAGCAAAAUGUUAAAUGCAUAUAUAUACACAAAUUCAGAUGUAAAUUUGGUAUAUGCUGGAGGGAUAAUCUGAUUACUAUUAGUGUAUAGCAAAAUAUCCCCCCAAUUUUUUUUUCUUUUUUUCUUUUUUUAUAUCCCCCAAAUUAACAACUUAAAAAUUAUAAUUAUCAUCACUGACAAUUUCUGUGGGAUAGAAAUUUGGGAGCAUCUUAGCUGUAUAGUUCUGCCUCUGGCUAGUCCUAGGAUCAUCUCAAAAGUGUCUUCAUGCAUAUGCUGGUACCUGAGUUGACAGCUUUGUUAAUGGACAAGUCAGAACUUCACAUGACCUUCUAUCUCUUCAGUUGGUUCCCUGACCAUUGCAG
RNAcentral lists this long non-coding RNA (4466 nucleotides) under Marmota monax (woodchuck). Lineage: Eukaryota; Metazoa; Chordata; Mammalia; Rodentia; Sciuridae. The record is from RNAcentral.